UCUAUACGGCGAAACUGCGAAUGGCUCAUUAAAACAGUUAUAGUUUAUUUGGUGGUCAGCAAUUACAUGGAUAACCGUGGUAAUUCUAGAGCUAAUACAUGCGUCCAAACCCGACUUCGUGGAAGGGUUGUGUUUAUUAGAUACAGAACCAACCCAGGCUCCGCCUGGCCUUGAGGUGAUUCAUAAUAACCGAACGAAUCGCAUGGCUAUGCCGGCGAUAGACCAUUCAAGUUUCUGACCUAUCAGCUAUCGUCGGUAGGGUAUUGGCCCACCGUGGCAAUGACGGGUAACGGAGAAUUAGGGUUCGAUUCCGGAGAGGGAGCCUGAGAAACGGCUACCACAUCUAAGGAAGGCAGCAGGCGCGCAAAUUACCCAAUCCUGACGCAGGGAGGUAGUGACAAGAAAUAACAAUACAGGGCAUAUAUGUCUUGUAAUUGGAAUGAGUAAACUUUAAAUCACUUUACGAGUAUCAAUCGGAGGGCAAGUCUGG
Molecule: ribosomal RNA, 490 nt
Filed under: uncultured marine eukaryote
Lineage: Eukaryota
Description: SSU rRNA
Rfam family: Eukaryotic small subunit ribosomal RNA
Source: RNAcentral